AUACGUAGGUGGCAAGCGUUAUCCGGAUUUACUGGGUGUAAAGGGUGCGCAGGCGGCCAUUUAAGUCAGCGGUUAAAUCGUGGGGCUCAACCCCAUUCUGCCGUUGAUACUGGGUGGCUUGAUUGCGGUCGAGGUUGGCGGAAUUCGUUGUGUAGCGGUGAAAUGCAUAGAUAUGACGAAGAACACCGAUUGCGUAGGCAGCUGACCAGACCGCAAAUGACGCUCAUGCACGAAAGUGCGGGGAUCGAACAGGAUUAGAUACCCUGGUAGUCCGCACAGUAAACGAUGAAUACUUGUUUUCGGCGAUAUAAUGUCGGAGGCAAAGCGAAAGCGAUAAGUAUUCCACCUGGGGAGUACGCCGGCAACGGUGAAACUCAAAUGAAUUGGCGGGG
Molecule: ribosomal RNA, 392 nt
Filed under: uncultured bacterium
Lineage: Bacteria
Description: partial 16S ribosomal RNA
Rfam family: Bacterial small subunit ribosomal RNA
Source: RNAcentral